UACGGGGGGUGCUAGCGUUAUUCGGAAUCAUUGGGCGUAAAGGGCGCGUAGGCGGUCUCUUAAGUCAGAUGUGAAAGCCCUCGGCUUAACCGAGGAAGUGCAUUUGAAACUAAGGGACUUGAGUAUGGGAGAGGGAAGCGGAAUUCCUGGUGUAGCGGUGAAAUGCGUAGAUAUCAGGAGGAACACCGGUGGCGAAGGCGGCUUCCUGGACCAAUACUGACGCUGAGGCGCGAAGGCGUGGGGAGCAAACAGG
This 253-nucleotide ribosomal RNA is filed under the name uncultured bacterium. RNAcentral describes it as "partial 16S ribosomal RNA". It matches the Rfam family "Bacterial small subunit ribosomal RNA", at positions 524 to 776 of the family's 1533-position model. The record is from RNAcentral.